UACGAAGGGGGCUAGCGUUGCUCGGAAUGACUGGGCGUAAAGGGCGCGUAGGCGGCUUGUAUAGUCGGAUGUGAAAUUCCUGGGCUUAACCUGGGGGCUGCAUACGAGACGUAUGGGCUUGAGUGCGGAAGAGGGUCGUGGAAUUCCCAGUGUAGAGGUGAAAUGCGUAGAUAUCUGGAGGAAUACCGGUGGCGAAGGCGGCAUCCUGGACCGACAUUGACGCUGAACGGCGAAAGCUAGGGGAGCAAACGGG
Molecule: ribosomal RNA, 253 nt
Filed under: uncultured bacterium
Lineage: Bacteria
Description: partial 16S ribosomal RNA
Rfam family: Bacterial small subunit ribosomal RNA
Source: RNAcentral